RNAcentral lists this ribosomal RNA (486 nucleotides) under uncultured Pseudonocardia sp. Its description in RNAcentral is "bacterial SSU rRNA". It matches the Rfam family "Bacterial small subunit ribosomal RNA", at positions 1 to 507 of the family's 1533-position model. The record is from RNAcentral. Lineage: Bacteria; Bacillati; Actinomycetota; Actinomycetes; Pseudonocardiales; Pseudonocardiaceae.
AGUAGUUGAUCCUGGCUCGAGGACGAACGCUGGCGGGCGUGCUUAACACAUGCAAGUCGAGCGGUAAGGCCCUUUCGGGGGUACACGAGCGGCGAACGGGUGAGUAACACGUGGGUGACCUGCCCUCCACUCUGGGAUAAGCCUGGGAAACUGGGUCUAAUACCGGAUAGGACCAUUGAUCGCAUGGUUGGUGGUGGAAAGUUUUUUCGGUGGGGGAUGGGCCCGCGGCCUAUCAGCUUGUUGUGGGGUGAUGGCCUACCAAGGCGGUGACGGGUAGCCGGCCUGAGAGGGCGACCGGCCACACUGGGACUGAGACACGGCCCAGACUCCUACGGGAGGCAGCAGUGGGGGAAUAUUGCGCAAUGGGCGGAAGCCUGACGCAGCGACGCCGCGUGGGGGAUGACGGCCUUCGGGUUGUAAACCUCUUUCGCCAGGGACGAAGAGCAAUUGACGGUACCUGGAGAAGAAGCACCGGCCAACUACGUG